GCCGUCAUAGCUCAAUUGGCAGAGCAGUUGAUUUGUAAUCAUCAGGUUGCUGGUUCGAUUCCGGUUGACGGCACCA
RNAcentral lists this transfer RNA (76 nucleotides) under Bacilli bacterium. Its description in RNAcentral is "tRNA-Thr". It matches the Rfam family "tRNA". Rfam says of the family: Transfer RNA (tRNA) molecules are approximately 80 nucleotides in length. Their secondary structure includes four short double-helical elements and three loops (D, anti-codon, and T loops). Further hydrogen bonds mediate the characteristic L-shaped molecular structure. tRNAs have two regions of fundamental functional importance: the anti-codon, which is responsible for specific mRNA codon recognition, and the 3' end, to which the tRNAs corresponding amino acid is attached (by aminoacyl-tRNA synthetases). tRNAs cope with the degeneracy of the genetic code in two manners: having more than one tRNA (with a specific anti-codon) for a particular amino acid; and 'wobble' base-pairing, i.e. permitting non-standard base-pairing at the 3rd anti-codon position. Lineage: Bacteria; Bacillati; Bacillota; Bacilli. The record is from RNAcentral.